This is a long non-coding RNA of Arachis ipaensis, 877 nucleotides long. RefSeq lists it as uncharacterized. Lineage: Eukaryota; Viridiplantae; Streptophyta; Magnoliopsida; Fabales; Fabaceae. The record is from RefSeq and is a predicted model, not a curated record.
AUAAAAAACAAUUUUUAAAAAAAAAAUUGAAAACCAAUGUUUUAACUUUUAAAUGCGUUAUAUGAAUCUGCAUACGGAACUCCUCUCAUCAAAUUGGUUUGCUCCAAAUUAAUGAUGACACACAAAAAAAGUGCAGCAAUUUCAUCCAACUAUAAAAAUCAUGUUUCCAUUUCUUGUUUUUUCCUUACUAAGCAUUUAUCAAGCCUAAAUAAUGAUUACAUACCAUAAUUUCUGAAUUUUUCUAGAUUCCUAUUAAUUAAUUAGAUGACAGUGCACAAUUCAUUUCCAUGAUUUCCUUUUCACGUUGUUUAUGACAUACUUAAUUCUAAUUUGCUUUGACCUUUUCUACAUGGAACAAACGUGUGUGGCCAAUAAUCAAAAUCCCUGUCCUCUUUUCCUCCAUCAGUAGUAGCUGUGGCAAAUAAAAUUGGUGGCAAGAAAUUAAAAAAAUAUGUUGGAACUUGCUUUGGCUGUGGCAUUCUCCUCAGUGCCUUUAACACUGUAUGUGCCACCAAUACGAAGCUUCACGCUCUUCGUUCAAAGCCUUCAAGGCUUUCUAAGCAACUCCACUCUCUACGCGCUACGCGCCUACCCGCGUCUUCGGCUUGCUGCUUCCAGAAUCUUCAACUUUCUCUUUCUACACCGUAACCCCAAUCGCACCCGUUAGAUCUCUCUCUUUUUUUUGCUGUCUCAUAUUUUCUGGUGUUUUUGGAUCAAUUUGGUCCAUUUUUCUUUUAAUCGGAUUGAGUUAGAUGUAGUGUUUUUGUUUUUCUGGGAUAGAUGCAUUCUGUUUCUGUAUACCUAAUUGAUGUAUAAUCCUGGGUUGUAACUUGUAAGAGCAUCCUUGUUCCCAUUUUAAAGUAGGAUUUCUUUUGUU